This 73-nucleotide transfer RNA is filed under the name Clostridia bacterium. Its description in RNAcentral is "tRNA-Lys". It matches the Rfam family "tRNA". Rfam says of the family: Transfer RNA (tRNA) molecules are approximately 80 nucleotides in length. Their secondary structure includes four short double-helical elements and three loops (D, anti-codon, and T loops). Lineage: Bacteria; Bacillati; Bacillota; Clostridia. The record is from RNAcentral.
GGAUUUGUAACUCAGUUGGUAGAGUACCAUCCUUUUAAGAUGGGAGUCGCGGGUCCGAGCCCCGCCAAAUCCA